AGAUUGAACGCUGGCGGCAGGCCUAACACAUGCAAGUCGAGCGGCAGCACGGGUACUUGUACCUGGUGGCGAGCGGCGGACGGGUGAGUAAUGCCUAGGAAUCUGCCUGGUAGUGGGGGAUAACGUUCGGAAACGGACGCUAAUACCGCAUACGUCCUACGGGAGAAAGCGGGGGACCUUCGGGCCUCGCGCCAUUAGAUGAGCCUAGGUCGGAUUAGCUAGUUGGUGAGGUAAUGGCUCACCAAGGCGACGAUCCGUAACUGGUCUGAGAGGAUGAUCAGCCACACUGGGACUGAGACACGGCCCAGACUCCUACGGGAGCAGCAGUGGGGAAUAUUGGACAAUGGGCGAAAGCCUGAUCCAGCAAUGCGCGUGAGUGAUGAAGCCUUAGGUU
This 394-nucleotide ribosomal RNA is filed under the name uncultured soil bacterium. Its description in RNAcentral is "bacterial SSU rRNA". It matches the Rfam family "Bacterial small subunit ribosomal RNA", at positions 26 to 425 of the family's 1533-position model. The record is from RNAcentral.